This 374-nucleotide ribosomal RNA is filed under the name uncultured eukaryote. Its description in RNAcentral is "partial 18S ribosomal RNA". It matches the Rfam family "Eukaryotic small subunit ribosomal RNA", at positions 592 to 976 of the family's 1831-position model. The record is from RNAcentral.
CAAUAGCGUAUAUUAAAGCUGUUGCGGUUAAAAAGCUCGUAGUUGAAUGUUGGUGUCGAACGAGCGGUCAGCUUCGGCUGUACUGCUCUCUCGACUCCUUCCUUCUGUGGACUACGUCGCACUUUACUGUGUGGCGCUAGGACGCAGAUCGUUUACUGUGAAAAAAUUAGAGUGUUCAAAGCAGGCCGUACGCUUGAAUACAUUAGCAUGGAAUAAUGGAAUAGGACGUCGGGCCUAUUUUGUUGGUUCUAGGACCGUCGUAAUGAUUAAUAGGGACAGUUGGGGCCGUUUAUAUUCCGUAGUCAGAGGUGAAAUUCUUGGAUUUACGGAAGAUAAACUACUGCGAAAGCAUUCGGCAAGGAUGUUUUCGUUAA